RNAcentral lists this small RNA (1294 nucleotides) under Pan troglodytes (chimpanzee). Its description in RNAcentral is "processed transcript". Lineage: Eukaryota; Metazoa; Chordata; Mammalia; Primates; Hominidae. The record is from RNAcentral.
CCCGGGGUGAGGGGACCCGAAGUCCUGAGGCGCGCCGGAAGGGCUAGCGGUCCCAGCAUACCCCGCGGCCCCUUGGGCCGUCUCACAACUCGCGUCCGGCGGAGACCACAAUUCCCGGCAUUCGUGGGGCGGGGAGGAGUCGGCCUCCCGGAAUCCUGGUCCCGGCGUGCACUUCUGAAGGACUUCAGUACAACUUCAUCGCAGAUGUGGUGGAGAAGACAGCACCUGCCGUGGUCUAUAUCGAGAUCCUGGACCGGCACCCUUUCUUGGGCCGCGAGGUCCCUAUCUCGAACGGCUCAGGAUUCGUGGUGGCUGCCGAUGGGCUCAUUGUCACCAACGCCCAUGUGGUGGCUGAUCGGCGCAGAGUCCGUGUGAGACUGCUAAGCGGCGACACGUAUGAGGCCGUGGUCACAGCUGUGGAUCCCGUGGCAGACAUCGCAACGCUGAGGAUUCAGACUAAGGAGCCUCUCCCCACGCUGCCUCUGGGACGCUCAGCUGAUGUCCGGCAAGGGGAGUUUGUUGUUGCCAUGGGAAGUCCCUUUGCACUGCAGAACACGAUCACAUCCGGCAUUGUUAGCUCUGCUCAGCGUCCAGCCAGAGACCUGGGACUCCCCCAAACCAAUGUGGAAUACAUUCAAACUGAUGCAGCUAUUGAUUUUGGAAACUCUGGAGGUCCCCUGGUUAACCUGGAUGGGGAGGUGAUUGGAGUGAACACCAUGAAGGUCACAGCUGGAAUCUCCUUUGCCAUCCCUUCUGAUCGUCUUCGAGAGUUUCUGCAUCGUGGGGAAAAGAAGAAUUCCUCCUCCGGAAUCAGUGGGUCCCAGCGGCGCUACAUUGGGGUGAUGAUGCUGACCCUGAGUCCCAGCAUCCUUGCUGAACUACAGCUUCGAGAACCAAGCUUUCCCGAUGUUCAGCAUGGUGUACUCAUCCAUAAAGUCAUCCUGGGCUCCCCUGCACACCGGGCUGGUCUGCGGCCUGGUGAUGUGAUUUUGGCCAUUGGGGAGCAGAUGGUACAAAAUGCUGAAGAUGUUUAUGAAGCUGUUCGAACCCAAUCCCAGCUGGCAGUGCAGAUCCGGCGGGGACGAGAAACACUGACCUUAUAUGUGACCCCUGAGGUCACAGAAUGAAUAGAUCACCAAGACUAUGAGGCUCCUGCUCUGAUUUCCUCCUUGCCUUCCUGGCUGAGGCUCUGAGGGCACCGAGACAGAGGGUUAAAUGAACCAGUGGGGGCAGGUCCCUCCAACCACCAGCACUGACUCCUGGGCUCUGAAGAAUCACAGAAACACUUUUUAUA